GUUCAGUGAUGUAUUGCCAACACAUCACUCGAAAGAGAACUAUGGUGACUUCCCAUGACUGAGCAUA
This is a small nucleolar RNA of Ailuropoda melanoleuca (giant panda), 67 nucleotides long. Its record names the gene SNORD63. It matches the Rfam family "Small nucleolar RNA SNORD63". Rfam says of the family: snoRNA U63 is found in both humans and mice. U63 is a member of the C/D class of snoRNA which contain C (UGAUGA) and D (CUGA) box motifs. Lineage: Eukaryota; Metazoa; Chordata; Mammalia; Carnivora; Ursidae. The record is from Ensembl.